RNAcentral lists this long non-coding RNA (1519 nucleotides) under Equus caballus (horse). RNAcentral's name for it is "lncRNA (ENSECAG00000048265.1)". The record is from RNAcentral. Lineage: Eukaryota; Metazoa; Chordata; Mammalia; Perissodactyla; Equidae.
CUUCCCCCGGGGAUUCCACAUUGUCUGAAAGAGAACACAGCCUGUCUGGAACAUCUUCAUGCCAAUCACUGAGUUCAUCUAAAACCCCUAGGGCAGAAGGGAAUGAAUUCUUGAACCUUCUUUGCCUCUGAAGUUGCAGAGGUGGUCUGUUACAGACUGAGGGCCCCUAAACAGCCAGACCAGAACAGUCUUUGAGACCCACAUAAACUUCUUCCAGGUCUGUUCAUUCCCAAUUCAACUGCUAAGUGCAAGACUCUGGAUUAUGUGCAGUGGAAGUAUAUAGAAGCAAAAACUGCAGAUCUUGCCUGAUGGACCAAACAGUCUGAGACCAGAGGACCUACUGUUCCUACGGCUAAUUCAGUCAAAGAAACCAUUUGAUCUGCAUGUUGGACCAAAUGACCAGUGGUUUGACUGAGUUCACAGCCAUCGUGGCUGCUCUGGCGGUGUGUGUCCACCCAGGCUUUGUUUGUGUGCUGGCAGUCUCUGCACCGAGAACACACAGCAUAUGCCAGGUGGCCAUGUGUCUGAGGCAGAGGGAAGGGAGAACAAAGCAGAAAAAGCUUCCAUUUGGACAGAGAUGCUUUAAGCCAUCCGACUGCCAGUAACAUAUUAAAGAGAAAAGAAAAUGCAAUGAUGCCUGAAUAUACUCAACAGUAAACAACUUCAAGCCUGAGAUUCAGAUCACAAAUCUUCCUCUGCUGCUGCUGAUGAGCUCAGCUUGAGCGUGGCUGCAGGAGACAAAGAAACUUGAUCCAAGAGGAAAAUAAGAAGAGAUCUUCACACCAAUUUUAAUCUAUCUCAGAUAACUGGUCGCUCUCUUGCUGGUUCUCCAACAAGCGCUGUUUUCGCACCUGGAUGAGGACAUUUUGCCAUGUUGUGCUGGAUUGCUGUUUGUCUCUACGUGUGGCUCCUCCAGGGUUAGACUGUGUGAGCUGAAUCUUGACUUGUUUUUGACUGCCUUAUCCACGGACGCACCUGACAUACUUUCUCUCGGUGGAACAGCAAAUUGGAUUUUUCAAGAGCAGAUGAAAGCAAUUCAUGAGCUAAAUAUGGAUCACUUCAAACACAAUCACGAGCAAAUAUAGCAGACUUACCUGAAUCAAACAUCACUUCCAGUCAUCUCGGGGAUCUGGCCAUCCCAACAAGAGAUAGCAAAAGGAACAUAAAGGAGGAGGCAAUACAAGAUCCUGAUUGUAGAUACCACUAGUUUCCAGCUAGUAACUUCUCCUAAGUAUCAAGUAGACAUGUAGGUCCUUUUGGCUGUGGCACGUGGGACGCCACCACAGCAAGGCCUGAUGAGCAGUACCAAUGUCUGCACCCAGGAUCCAAACUGAUGAAACCCUGGGCCGCCGAAGCAGAGCGUGCUAACUUAACCACUCGGCCACGGGGCCGGCCCCAAAACUCUACAUUCUUAUGCAAUGACAAAGUUCAGUGUAACAAAUUGUGUGUACCAUUUAACAGAAAAGUUUUUCAGUUCCGAAUAUGUAAUGUUGAGGUCUAUAAAUAAACAUUGAUUUUU